AGAGUUUGAUCAUGGCUCAGGACGAACGCUGGCGGCGUGCUUAACACAUGCAAGUCGAACGCUGAUGGCCCAGCUUGCUGGGUUGGAUGAGUGGCGAACGGGUGAGUAACACGUGAGUAACCUGCCCUCUUCUUUGGGAUAACGGUCGGAAACGGCUGCUAAUACCGGGUAUUCACUGUCCUUCGCAUGGGGGGUGGUGGAAAGGUUUUUUCUGGUGGGGGAUGGGCUCGCGGCCUAUCAGCUUGUUGGUGGGGUGAUGGCUUACCAAGGCUUUGACGGGUAACCGGCCUGAGAGGGUGACCGGUCACAUUGGGACUGAGAUACGGCCCAGACUCCUACGGGAGGCAGCAGUGGGGAAUAUUGCACAAUGGGCGAAAGCCUGAUGCAGCGACGCCGCGUGAGGGAUGGAGGCCUUCGGGUUGUAAACCUCUUUCGCUCAUGGUCAAGCCGCAACUGUGGUUGUGGUGAGGGUAGUGGGUAAAGAAGCACCGGCUAACUACGUGCCAGCAGCCGCGGUAAUACGUAGGGUGCGAGCGUUGUCCGGAAUUAUUGGGCGUAAAGGGCUUGUAGGCGGUUUGUCGCGUCUGCCGUGAAAUCCUCUGGCUUAACUGGGGGCGUGCGGUGGGUACGGGCAGGCUUGAGUGCGGUAGGGGAGACUGGAACUCCUGGUGUAGCGGUGGAAUGCGCAGAUAUCAGGAAGAACACCGGUGGCGGAGGCGGGUCUCUGGGCCGUUACUGACGCUGAGGAGCGAAAGCGUGGGGAGCGAACAGGAUUAGAUACCCUGGUAGUCCACGCUGUAAACGUUGGGCACUAGGUGUGGGGGCCACCCGUGGUUUCUGCGCCGUAGCUAACGCUUUAAGUGCCCCGCCUGGGGAGUACGGCCGCAAGGCUAAAACUCAAAGGAAUUGACGGGGGCCCGCACAAG
RNAcentral lists this ribosomal RNA (926 nucleotides) under Actinomyces sp. R42.5. RNAcentral describes it as "bacterial SSU rRNA". It matches the Rfam family "Bacterial small subunit ribosomal RNA", at positions 8 to 929 of the family's 1533-position model. The record is from RNAcentral. Lineage: Bacteria; Bacillati; Actinomycetota; Actinomycetes; Actinomycetales; Actinomycetaceae.